RNAcentral lists this ribosomal RNA (200 nucleotides) under uncultured bacterium. Its description in RNAcentral is "partial 16S ribosomal RNA". It matches the Rfam family "Bacterial small subunit ribosomal RNA", at positions 328 to 538 of the family's 1533-position model. The record is from RNAcentral.
ACGCUCGACACCUACGGGGGCAGCAGUGGGGAAUAUUGCACAAUGGGGGAAACCCUGAUGCAGCGACGCCGCGUGAGCGAAGAAGUAUUUCGGUAUGUAAAGCUCUAUCAGCAGGGAAGAAAAUGACGGUACCUGACUAAGAAGCCCCGGCUAACUACGUGCCAGUAGCCGCGGUAAUCUGAGCGGGCGUGGCGAAGGCG